GGCUGGGGGGCAGCAGGCACCGGCUGCUCUUGCCGAAGGGGCUGCUCUGGUGCAUCCUCGUGCUCGCUGGUCCAGGACACACAGCUAAAGAGGUGCUAACGCCUGGGAACAUUUCUGCAACCAGAGGCAGCAAUGUCACCUUGCACUGCUGCAUGGUACUAUCUGCUGCUAUCGUCUCCUUGGUGAGCUGGAACCAAUGCAACGGCAUUGACCUGGUGGUCUGCCUGAACGAAGACACAGCCAACAUCUGCCCAGCAUUCAGGGAAAAGAUCUCUCUGGCAGCAGAGUAUGGGAUUACACUCCACUUACUGGGACUCAAUAACACUGGGGAUUACUGCUGUAAAUUCCACAUCUUCCCUUUUGGAGUAUUAUGAAGGCAGGAUGUUCCUGGAAGUGACAGCUCUGUUUGGGGUCUUGCAAACAUUGAGUGAAAGCCCUUAUUGAAGAAGCCCAGCUGGACUAACAGCGAGCAGCCUUGGGAGGGUGCUCCUCGAUGCCGGGAGGGCGACAAGACGAGGGACCGUUACGAACGGCAAGGAGGAACGAGGCCUCCCAGCUAGGAG
Molecule: long non-coding RNA, 563 nt
Organism: Struthio camelus australis
Lineage: Eukaryota; Metazoa; Chordata; Aves; Struthioniformes; Struthionidae
Source: RefSeq, a predicted model, not a curated record